AGCCGUGUGGUGAAAACAAAGCGAACUAUUCUUUCGCCUUUUACUAAAGAAUACCGUGUGUUCUCCACGCUAAACGACAUACACCAAUUUUUGGAGGAGUAACUUCAUCUGAAGUUU
RNAcentral lists this small nuclear RNA (117 nucleotides) under Arabidopsis thaliana (thale cress). RNAcentral's name for it is "U5 spliceosomal RNA". It matches the Rfam family "U5 spliceosomal RNA". Rfam says of the family: U5 RNA is a component of both types of known spliceosome. The precise function of this molecule is unknown, though it is known that the 5' loop is required for splice site selection and p220 binding, and that both the 3' stem-loop and the Sm site are important for Sm protein binding and cap methylation. RNAcentral also lists the same sequence under 1 other name. Lineage: Eukaryota; Viridiplantae; Streptophyta; Magnoliopsida; Brassicales; Brassicaceae. The record is from RNAcentral.